AACCUCCGCAAUGUGAGAAAUCGCGACGGGGGGAUCCCAAGUGCCAUUCUUAACGGGAUGGCUUUUCAUUAGUGUAAAGGGCUUUUGGAAUAAGAGCUGGGCAAGACCGGUGCCAGCCGCCGCGGUAACACCGGCAGCUCUAGUGGUAACAAUUUUUAUUGGGCCUAAAGCGUCCGUAGCCGGUUUAAUAAGUCUCUGGUGAAAUCCUGCAGCUUAACUGUGGGAAUUGCUGGAGAUACUAUUAGACUUGAGACCGGGAGAGGUUAGAGGUACUCCCAGGGUAGAGGUGAAAUUCUGUAAUCCUGGGAGGACCGCCUGUUGCGAAGGCGUCUAACUGGAACGGUUCUGACGGUGAGGGACGAAAGUUAGGGGCGCGAACCGGAUUAGAUACCCGGGUAGUUCUAACUGUAAACGAUGCGGACUUGGUGUUGGGGUGGCUUUGAGCUGCUUCAGUGCCGAAGGGAAGCUGUUAAGUCCGCCGCCUGGGAAGUACGGUCGCAAGACUGAAACUUAAAGGAAUU
This 521-nucleotide ribosomal RNA is filed under the name uncultured bacterium. Its description in RNAcentral is "bacterial SSU rRNA". It matches the Rfam family "Archaeal small subunit ribosomal RNA", at positions 345 to 866 of the family's 1478-position model. The record is from RNAcentral.